Molecule: ribosomal RNA, 484 nt
Filed under: uncultured bacterium
Lineage: Bacteria
Description: partial 16S ribosomal RNA
Rfam family: Bacterial small subunit ribosomal RNA
Source: RNAcentral
AUUGAACGCUGGCGGCAGGCCUAACACAUGCAAGUCGAGCGGAUGAAGGGAGCUUGCUCCUGGAUUCAGCGGCGGACGGGUGAGUAAUGCCUAGGAAUCUGCCUGGUAGUGGGGGAUAAUGUCCGGAAACGGGCGCUAAUACCGCAUACGUCCUGAGGGAGAAAGUGGGGGAUCUUCGGACCUCACGCUAUCAGAUGAGCCUAGGCCGGAUUAGCUAGUUGGUGGGGUAAAGGCCUACCAAGGCGACGAUCCGUAACUGGUCUGAGAGGAUGAUCAGUCACACUGGAACUGAGACACGGUCCAGACUCCUACGGGAGGCAGCAGUGGGGAAUAUUGGGCAAUGGGCGAAAGCCUGAUCCAGCCAUGCCGCGUGUGUGAAGAAGGUCUUCGGAUUGUAAAGCACUUUAAGUUGGGAGGAAGGGCAGUAAGUUAAUACCUUGCUGUUUUGACGUUACCAACAGAAUAAGCACCGGCUAACUUCGUG